GCCGAUGUAGCUCAGUAGGUAGAGCGACUGAUUUGUAAUCAGUAGGUCCCCGGUUCGAUUCCGGGCGUCGGCUCCC
Molecule: transfer RNA, 76 nt
Filed under: Deltaproteobacteria bacterium RIFCSPLOWO2_02_FULL_50_16
Lineage: Bacteria; Deltaproteobacteria
Also listed under: 1 other name
Description: tRNA-Thr
Rfam family: tRNA
About the family: Transfer RNA (tRNA) molecules are approximately 80 nucleotides in length. Their secondary structure includes four short double-helical elements and three loops (D, anti-codon, and T loops).
Source: RNAcentral